This 482-nucleotide ribosomal RNA is filed under the name uncultured bacterium. Its description in RNAcentral is "partial 16S ribosomal RNA". It matches the Rfam family "Bacterial small subunit ribosomal RNA", at positions 28 to 523 of the family's 1533-position model. The record is from RNAcentral.
GACGAACGCUGGCGGCGUGCUUAACACAUGCAAGUCGAACGAUGAAAUCUAGCUUGCUAGGUCGAUUAGUGGCGAACGGAUGAGUAACACGUUACUAACCUGCCCCUUUCUCUGGGAUAACGCUCCGAAAGGAGUGCUAAUACCGGAUACUCACACCUAGGCAAAUGCAUUGGUGUGGAAAGUUUUUCGGAAAGGGAGGGAGUCGCGGCCUAUCAGCGUGUUGGUGGGGUACCGGCUCACCAAGGCGGCGACGGGUAGCCGGUCUGGGAGGGCGACCGGCCACACUGGGACUGAGACACGGCCCAGACUCCUACGGGAGGCAGCAGUGGGGAAUAUUGCACAAUGGGCGCAAGCCUGAUGCAGCGACGCCGCGUGAGGGAUGAAGGUCUUCGGAUUGUAAACCUCUUUCAGUAGGGACGAAGCGAAAGUGACGGUACCUAAAGAAGAAGCACCGGCUAACUACGUGCCAGCAGCCGCCGUAA